This 468-nucleotide ribosomal RNA is filed under the name uncultured bacterium. RNAcentral's name for it is "partial 16S ribosomal RNA". It matches the Rfam family "Bacterial small subunit ribosomal RNA", at positions 28 to 507 of the family's 1533-position model. The record is from RNAcentral.
GAUGAACGCUGGCGGCGUGCUUAACACAUGCAAGUCGAACGGUGAAGGCGGAGCUUGCUCUGCUGGAUCAGUGGCGAACGGGUGAGUAACACGUGAGCAAUCUGCCCCUGACUCUGGGAUAAGCGCUGGAAACGGCGUCUAAUACUGGAUACGAGCUGCGAAGGCAUCUUCAGCAGCUGGAAAGAACUUCGGUCAGGGAUGAACUCGCGGCCUAUCAGCUUGUUGGUGGGGUAGUGGCUUACCAAGGCUUCGACGGGUAGCCGGCCUGAGAGGGUGACCGGCCACAUUGGGACUGAGACACGGCCCAGACUCCUACGGGAGGCAGCAGUGGGGAAUAUUGCACAAUGGGCGGAAGCCUGAUGCAGCAACGCCGCGUGCGGGAUGACGGCCUUCGGGUUGUAAACCGCUUUUGCCUGGGACGAAGCGAAAGUGACGGUACCUGGUGAAAAAGCGCCGGCUAACUACGUG